This 301-nucleotide ribosomal RNA is filed under the name uncultured bacterium. RNAcentral describes it as "partial 16S ribosomal RNA". It matches the Rfam family "Bacterial small subunit ribosomal RNA", at positions 509 to 809 of the family's 1533-position model. The record is from RNAcentral.
CAGUCGCCGCGGUAAUACGAAGGGGGCUAGCGUUGUUCGGAUUAACUGGGCGUAAAGGGCGCGUAGGCGGGUCUUUAAGUCAGAGGUGAAAUCCCAAGGCUCAACCUUGGAACUGCCUUUGAUACUGGAAGUCUUGAGUCCGGGAGAGGUGAGUGGAACUGCGAGUGUAGAGGUGAAAUUCGUAGAUAUUCGCAAGAACACCAGUGGCGAAGGCGGCUCACUGGCCCGGUACUGACGCUGAGGCGCGGAAGCGUGGGGAGCAAACAGGAUUAGAUACCCCAGUAGUCCCUGUCUCUUAUAU